UGAUGAAGAGGUCUCGAGCAAGAGUUUUUGCAAGAGUUUUUGCGUUCUUUAUUAUUCGCUCACUUGUGUACAAAUGGUUACAUCGAUAAGCUCGAACCGUGCGCUCUCGAAUCAGCGGUGGAUUCCUGGUGAACGGAGUCCUUUGAGCGUCGAGACGAGCAUCAAAGGACUUUCUUAUGCGCUUACGCGGAACUCGGUAAUAGGAAGAUGACGUUUACGAGGCGGGCGGUACAACAAGAAAGCGCGAGCUAUCUUUAUCUCGAGAGCGAGAGACGUAUCCGGUCGUGCCGUGCUCUUUCUACCACCCUUCCAUCGUUCUCAUUCAUGAUGGAAUAAAGGAUGUAACGAAAAACAAAUUUACACGUGAAGGGUAUAAUAUAAAGAAAUUGCAGUAUCAACACGAAAGGAUGCAGAAGGUAAGUAUAAAGGUAAGUAUAAGACUUCUUAGUCCAUUAGAUUUAAGUAAAAUGUUGAAAAAAUGAUUACUUCUCGUAAAUAUGGAGAAGGUAAGUACAAACCAGGUAAGUACAUUCAAUAAAAAAUUUCACGUGCCACCAAUAUUUUUAAACAAUAAAUACAAAGUACAAAAAAAACCAAAAAAAUUCUUGGAUAUGGAAAUUUUAGAAAAAUUUAAUACCCAUGGAAUUAUAUUUUCCUAAUGCAAAAUCGAAAAUAUAGAAAGUGUUUAAAAUGGCAGAAAUUUCAAUUUUAUAUUAGGAGAACAUAAUUCGUAAAGAGGUAGCACACUAAAUUUCCAAGAAAAUUCAGAAAUCAGAAAUUUUUGGCUGAUUUUCGACUUUUCAUUAAGAGAAUAUAA
This is a long non-coding RNA of Apis mellifera (honey bee), 817 nucleotides long. RefSeq lists it as uncharacterized. The record is from RefSeq and is a predicted model, not a curated record. Lineage: Eukaryota; Metazoa; Arthropoda; Insecta; Hymenoptera; Apidae. The transcript is spliced from 3 exons.